Molecule: long non-coding RNA, 979 nt
Filed under: Brachypodium distachyon (stiff brome)
Lineage: Eukaryota; Viridiplantae; Streptophyta; Magnoliopsida; Poales; Poaceae
Description: long non-coding RNA (BDIS_LNC000570)
Source: RNAcentral
AGGAAUGACAUGUUUGGUGGGAGGAGGGAUUACCGAAGAGGUCUUGGCCAUAAAGCACUUGGGUGAGCGGUUCUUGUUCUCAUUGGGGGAGUCGAAGAGAGAUGGAACUGAAGGAGCAAUGGCAAUGUUCGCCCUCUCCGUGGACUCUUCAUCAUCAUCAUCUUCGUCACCCGAAGUAUAUUAUUCUUGAACAAGAAGCUGUAACAUCCCAAUUUUUUCCAAACUUUGCAUCACGCAUUUGCACUCAUAAGCAUCGUGCCAUUUAUGCACUUUGAGCAUUUUAAACCAAGUUUCAAAAUUUAAAGUCCUUUUUAUUUAGCUUUUGCUUUCUAACCUUCUUUGUUACCAUUUGGAAUUUCUCAACUCAUGGGGUUUUGUCAAUAUAAAGGGGUUUAUUGCAUCAAGAUAAGCUGCCCCAUAAUUUUUGGAAUUUGAUUUGGAGUUGAAAAACUAUUUAUUUCUUAAUAUUAUUGCACUAGAGGCAACUAUUUUAAGCAAAACUAUUUUUAAUAAUUUGCUUUUGGAAGGAAUCAAGUCCCAGGUGUUUUAGCAUUGAGGGAUUUGAUUUUACAAAUUUUCUGGAAUUUAUUUGGAGUUAAAAAUUAAAAGAUAGAAGGGAAAAACAGAAAAAGAAAAGAAAAGAAAAGAAAAAGAUCAAAAAAGAAGAAGAAACCAGGCCGGCCCGGCCGAACCGGCCCAGUCGCAGCCCAACCCAGCCCAGUCGCCUGCCCGCGAGCACCGCAGUCGCUGACAGGUGGGGCCCACCUGUCAGUCGUCUUCUAGAUUCGCCCGGGAAUCUAGCUAAGACCGACUUCAUUGCUCGUCUUCAAUCUGAGAUUUAGAGCGCCCCAUUAACCACACCCCUCGCGUCACUAUAAAGAGCACUUCACCCUCUCUCAUUUCCCCCACACCCCCCCGGAGAAUUUCUCGCUGGAAUCCCUUCGGCCGCCGGGCAUUUUUCACUAAUCGUCGUCGCCUC